RNAcentral lists this transfer RNA (84 nucleotides) under Felis catus (domestic cat). It matches the Rfam family "tRNA". From Rfam's summary of the family: Transfer RNA (tRNA) molecules are approximately 80 nucleotides in length. Their secondary structure includes four short double-helical elements and three loops (D, anti-codon, and T loops). Lineage: Eukaryota; Metazoa; Chordata; Mammalia; Carnivora; Felidae. The record is from Rfam by way of RNAcentral.
GCCUGGGUGGCUCAGUCGGUUGAGCCUCCGACUUCGGCUCAGGUCAUGAUCUCACGGUCGUGGGUUCGAGCCCCAUGUCGGGCU